AUUGAACGCUGGCGGCAGGCCUAACACAUGCAAGUCGAGCGGUAGAGAGGUGCUUGCAUCUCUUGAGAGCGGCGGACGGGUGAGUAAUGCCUAGGAAUCUGCCUGGUGGUGGGGGAUAACGUUCGGAAACGGACGCUAAUACCGCAUACGUCCUACGGGAGAAAGCGGGGGAUCUUCGGACCUCGCGCCAUUAGAUGAGCCUAGGUCGGAUUAGCUAGUUGGUGAGGUAAUGGCUCACCAAGGCGACGAUCCGUAACUGGUCUGAGAGGAUGAUCAGUCACACUGGAACUGAGACACGGUCCAGACUCCUACGGGAGGCAGCAGUGGGGAAUAUUGGACAAUGGCGCAAGCCUGAUCCAGCCAUGCCGCGUGUGUGAAGAAGGUCUUCGGAUUGUAAAGCACUUUAAGUUUGGGAGGAAGGGUAGGUAACCUAAUACGUUGCUACUUUGACGUUACCGACAGAAUAAGCACCGGCUAACUUCGUGCCAGCACG
This 493-nucleotide ribosomal RNA is filed under the name uncultured bacterium. Its description in RNAcentral is "bacterial SSU rRNA". It matches the Rfam family "Bacterial small subunit ribosomal RNA", at positions 30 to 515 of the family's 1533-position model. The record is from RNAcentral.